CCUACGGGAGGCAGCAGUGAGGAAUCUUUGUCAAUGGACGAGAGUCUGAACCAGCCAAGUAGCGUGAAGGAUGACUGCCCUAUGGGUUGUAAACUUCUUUUAUAAAGGAAUAAAACAAGACACGUGUACCUUUUUGUAUGUACUUUAUGAAUAAUGAUCGGCUAACUCCGUGCCAGCAGCCGCGGUAAUACGGAGGAUACGAGCGUUAUCCGGAAUUAUUGGUUUUAAAGGGAGCGUAGAUGGGUUGUUAAGUCAGUUGUGAAAGGUUGCGGCUCAACCGUAAAAUUGCAAUUUAAACUGGCAGUCUUGAGUACAGUUGAGGUAGGCGGAAUUCGUGGUGUAGCGGUGAAAUGCUUAGAUAUCACGAAGAACUCCGAUUGCGAAGGCAGCUUACUAAACUGCAACUGACAUUGAGGCUCGAAAGUGUGGGUAGCAAACAGGAUUAGAUACCCGGGUAGUC
Molecule: ribosomal RNA, 460 nt
Filed under: uncultured bacterium
Lineage: Bacteria
Description: partial 16S ribosomal RNA
Rfam family: Bacterial small subunit ribosomal RNA
Source: RNAcentral